CAAGUCGAACGAGAAAGUUCCUUCGGGAGCGAGUAAAGUGGCGGACGGGUGAGUAACGCGUAGGAAUCUACCUUUCAGUGGGGGAUAGCUCGGGGAAACUCGAAUUAAUACCGCAUACACCCUUCGGGGGAAAGGGGGCCUCUCCUUGGAAGCUCUCGCUGUUAGAUGAGCCUGCGUGAGAUUAGCUUGUUGGUAAGGUAAUGGCUCACCAAGGCUACGAUCUCUAGCUGGUCUGAGAGGACGAUCAGCCACACUGGGACUGAGACACGGCCCAGACUCCUACGGGAGGCAGCAGUAGGGAAUAUUGGACAAUGGGGGCAACCCUGAUCCAGGCAUGCCGCGUGUGUGAAGAAGGCCUUAGGGUUGUAAAGCACUUUAAGUGAGGAAGAAAAGAUUUAAAUUAAUACUUUAAGUCCCUGACAUUACUCACAGAAUAAGGACCGGCUAACUCCGUGCCAGCAGCCGCGGUAAUACGGAGGGUCCAAGCGUUAAUCGGAAUUACUGGGCGUAAAGCGCGCGUAGAUGGUUUAUUCAGUUGGGUGUGAAAUCCCUGGGCUCAACCUAGGAACUGCAUUCAAAACUUAUAAACUAGAGUACGAAAGAGGAGAGUAGAAUUCAUGGUGUAGCGGUGAAAUGCGUAGAGAUCAUGAGGAAUACCAGUGGCGAAGGCGACUCUCUGGUUCGAGACUGACAUUGAGGUGCGAAAGCGUGGGUAGCAAACAGGAUUAGAUACCCUGGUAGUCCACGCCGUAAACGAUGAGAACUAGCCGUUGGAUCUUUAGAUUCAGUGGCGCAGCUAACGCAUUAAGUUCUCCGCCUGGGGAGUACGGCCGCAAGGCUAAAACUCAAAUGAAUUGACGGGGGCCCGCACAAGCGGUGGAGCAUGUGGUUUAAUUCGAUGCAACGCGAAGAACCUUACCAACCCUUGACAUCCAGUGGAAGUUUUAGAGAUAAACUGUGCCUUUGGGACACUG
Molecule: ribosomal RNA, 974 nt
Filed under: uncultured marine bacterium
Lineage: Bacteria
Description: bacterial SSU rRNA
Rfam family: Bacterial small subunit ribosomal RNA
Source: RNAcentral